This is a non-coding RNA of Struthio camelus australis, 1810 nucleotides long. Lineage: Eukaryota; Metazoa; Chordata; Aves; Struthioniformes; Struthionidae. The record is from RefSeq and is a predicted model, not a curated record.
CAGGGCUGAAGCCAGCAGCCCCGCGAGCUGGCAAGGUGGCUGCUGGUUGAUCACUGCUGUCUCCUUUUCAGGAGGAGGUGAGCUGUACACCUGGGGCUGGGGUAAAUAUGGACAGCUGGGCCACGAGGACAACACCAGCUCUGACCAGCAGCGGCGCGUAGACUACCUCGCAGCCAACGGACUACGUGCUGAGGAUGUGGUGUGUGGGCCCUGGACCACCUACGUGUGCGUGCUGGAGCAGUGAGGGCUCCCAGCGACGCUGUGACUGCUGCAGGCUCGGGGGGAGGACGACACUGCCUUCCCGCGCUGCCACCAGGACCAGCCCUGGCAGCUGCUCUGCUUUCUUCUCUGUGAGGCUGAACAGCCUUCACAGAGAGAGAUGACACAGCCGGGUCUGACACCGCACUGAACUGAACUCACACACUCGAAGGGGGUUGCUGCGCUGAACAGGGAAGGACCGAGUUUAUUUAUUACAUCUCCUUUUUCAUAACACAGCUGCGGUAAUGCUUCAUGUUGCAUAGAGGGCUGUUCCAGUCUUCCUGGCAGCUCUGGGAACAGGCCAGGUUUAAUGCAUGCAGGCUGAAGAGAGCCACCCUUGCUCCUCUCCCCCUCCCAGGACACACAGGGCCACCCCCACGCAGCCUGUGGGCACCCCAACAUACCGACACCAACAGCACUGGCUAUAUACACAGAUAUGCAUUAUUCCCAUAAACAGUAUAUACAGAGUUACAGAGCAAAGGGACAAAAGCCAGGGAAUAAAUAACAGCAGUGGGGGACUGUAGUGAUAACAAGGUGCAAAUUAGUCAUGAUGAUCAGGGACAGACAAACAUACAUACAGAGCUUCAUUAACAAAGGUGCAAACAGGCUGCCACCAGCUAUGCCCAGUGCCACGUGUAGGACCACAGAAGCACGCGGCUUGCUGAUCCUCGCUGGAGGGAAGGAGGGCAGCUAGGAGCCCUGGGUGGUGCGGAGCACGUGUGGGAGCCGUAACAAGCUGCCCCUUUGCAGGGGUGAAGUCGUCCUUGUCCCACUGCAACUCGACUCUUCGCUAGCAACAGGAGCUCGGGCGACCCCCUCCACUAGCUCUGCUGCAUCCAGAGCUGGGGGCUAGCGGAUACCACACAGCUCCCUCUGCUCUUUCUGAGCGCAAAAGGGCAGCACGGCCCCCGCAGGACAGCAUUGAGGCUUGUUUUCAGUGGCGUGUGCUGCUGUUCCCUCCUGGGGACCCCAGGUUCAGAGCUGGGGAGCACAGGGGGAAGCUGUUUGACACUCAGCCCUGAGUCCAGCCUGCAGCACAGGGCGAGCCUAUCGCGCACCUACCAGCAAGCUGGGCACAGCCCGCUAAAGAAAUCUUAGCUAACAUAAGUCCCUGUUACAAACAGGCCUGCUGUGCCCUUGGGAAGAUCGUGAUGGAAAACAACUACAGAAACAUGGAGAAAAGAACUGGGAUGAGAGACUCUGAGGCCAAGUCUCCCCAAAAGAGGUGCCAUCUGUCCCACAGCAUGAUCAGAAAGGCAGAGCCCUCGUGACCUAGCACCAACACCCCAGCCCCAGGUAGGCUGCAGAAGGUCCCUCUGCAGCAGAAGCCAGCACCCACUGCUGUGCUACCCCAACAAGACAGUGUACUCAAAACUUUAAUCUCAAAUAGUUGAAAAAAAUAAAAGCAGUUUUUAAAAACAAGUGUCCCUUUCAUACCCUAUCCUGGCAGGUAGCUACAUUCCCCCAAACCCGCAGGAAGCCAGGCUUGCAGAGUAACAGCUGGGACCUAGCUAAAAGUUAGGCCUACAGCACUGCGUGCUUUGGGUCCAGA